RNAcentral lists this transfer RNA (73 nucleotides) under Talaromyces stipitatus ATCC 10500. RNAcentral's name for it is "tRNA-Pro (TGG) (tRNA-Pro-TGG-1-1)". Lineage: Eukaryota; Fungi; Ascomycota; Eurotiomycetes; Eurotiales; Trichocomaceae. The record is from RNAcentral.
GCCCGGAUGGUCUAGUUGGUAUGAUUCCUCGUUUGGGUCGAGGAGGUCCUGCGUUCAAAUCGCGGUUCGGGCC